This 1356-nucleotide ribosomal RNA is filed under the name Octopus fitchi. Its description in RNAcentral is "16S ribosomal RNA". The stretch from base 904 to 1278 matches the Rfam family "Bacterial large subunit ribosomal RNA", at positions 2073 to 2647 of the family's 2925-position model. The record is from RNAcentral. Lineage: Eukaryota; Metazoa; Mollusca; Cephalopoda; Octopoda; Octopodidae.
AUAAAUUAUUUUUGAAUAAAAUAUUGGUUAGUAGUUAUAAAGGUUGGGAUAUUAAAAUGAAUGUUUUGUGUUAGUAUAAGGUUUAGAAAAUUUUUUUUAAUUAGUACUGUGAAGGAAUAAGAAUGAUAAUAUAUAUUAUAGUAGAUGUUAAUCUUUGUACCUUUUGCAUAAUGGUUUAAUAAUAUUAAUUGUUAUAAUAUCAAGUUCUCGAAAUAAAAAGAUUUAUUUGAUUUAAUAUAUAUAUAUAUAUAUAUAUAUAGUUGACGUGGUAUAGUCAUUAUAUUAAAAGAGGAUGGUAGUGAAAUGCUAUUCGAUUUUUGUGGUAGCUAGUUUAUUUAAAUGAACAUUUAAGUGUAAAAUUUUAAUAGGUUUAUUUAGGUAAUAAUAUUUUAGUGGAUAUAUUGAGGGAUAAGCUUCUUAUAUGUUGUGAGAUAUAUAAUAUAAAUAUUUAAUUAGUUGAAUUAAUUUUGUUUUCUUGUAGGUAAGUUAAGUAUAAAUGUUUAAAUUAAUAUUCUUUAUUUUUUUGAAAUAAAUUUUUUUUAAUUUUUUAAAAUUAAAUAUAAUGUUAAAAUGAGUAUUUAAUAUGAUUAUAUUUAUAUAAAUUGUAUAUAUAUAUAUAGAUUAUAUAUAGUAUGUAAUUAUUUGUAGUAAAUUAAAAUAAAGGAAUUUAGCAAAUAUUGAUUUCGCCUGUUUAUCAAAAACAUGUCUCUUUGAAUUUUUUUAAUAAAGAGUUGGGCCUGCUCAAUGAUUAAUAUUAAAUAGCUGCGGUAUUAUAACUGUACUAAGGUAGCAUAGUAAUUUGCCUUAUAAAUUAGGGCUAGAAUGAAUGGUUUGACGAAAAUUAGACUGUCUCUAUUUUAUUUAUUAGAAAUUAAUUUUUAUAGUGAGAAAGCUUGAAUAAAUUAAAGGGACGAGAAGACCCUAUUGAGCUUAGAAUUAUUAUUUAAUUAAUGUGAUAAUUUAUUUAUUAGUUUAUUGAUAUUUAUUUAUGUAAUUUUGAUUGGGGUGAUCAAGGAAUAAAAGUUUAUAAUAACUUCCUUAGGAUUUUGUAAUUUAUAGAUUAAUAAACCAUAAUUUUGCUUAGAAGAUAAGUUACCAUAGGGAUAACAGCGUAAUUUUUUUUGAGAGUUCAUAUUGAAAGAAAAGAUUGCGACCUCGAUGUUGGAUUAAAUAUAACCUUAAGGUGAAGAAGCUUUAAUAGGUGAAUCUGUUCGAUUUUUAAAAUUUUACAUGAUCUGAGUUCAAACCGGUGAGAGCCAGGUUGGUUUCUAUCUUUUAAAAUUAUUUUUAUUAGAUUUAGUACGAAAGGAUUGAUUAUAAUUAAUACUUGUAAAUUAAUUAAUAUAAAAUGUAAAG